This 25-nucleotide microRNA is filed under the name Canis lupus familiaris (dog). RNAcentral describes it as "cfa-miR-8792". The record is from miRBase by way of RNAcentral. Lineage: Eukaryota; Metazoa; Chordata; Mammalia; Carnivora; Canidae.
UAUGAGCAGGCUGAGUUAAGAAUAU